Molecule: long non-coding RNA, 536 nt
Organism: Ooceraea biroi (clonal raider ant)
Lineage: Eukaryota; Metazoa; Arthropoda; Insecta; Hymenoptera; Formicidae
Source: RefSeq, a predicted model, not a curated record
AUUGAGUGCAAAGAAGUAGCACAGAACAUGAAAUAAAAAUAUUGUGCAAACCUUGGCACUGAGAUAUUCUCCAGCGAAACAAAAAAUGAAAGCUUCCAAUGUUACGGCGACGUAAAAAAUAGCGGAUUUUAACAAUAUUAUAGUAACUCCAGCCUUACCGAGGGACUGUGAAAAGAUGACGAACAACUCGAAAAAUACUCAACAUAACUAUGAUCGUGAAGCCGAUGCAACAGAUGACUAAGUUAUCAGAAGCCUGAUCCCCGCAAUGAUCGAACUGCUCUCUGAAGAUUCAUCAUUGCAAGUCAUUAAUAACUCCUGACGAAGAAUAUCGAUCUGUCCGGUCACGUGAAGCACCUAAAUGCAACUAUUAAUGAUCCGUAAAAAGUACUUUUGAUUAUUAUCAGCAAAAGUUCAGUAAAAAAUUAAAAAAUUUUCAAGUUGCUAAUAAGAAAUUAGAAAAAUCAGAUUAAUCACUGAACUUUAAUGUUCGCAGGAAUCCUUUAGAACAAGUGAAAGGUAGAAUCCCAGGAGAGUUC